RNAcentral lists this ribosomal RNA (163 nucleotides) under uncultured bacterium. RNAcentral describes it as "partial 16S ribosomal RNA". It matches the Rfam family "Bacterial small subunit ribosomal RNA", at positions 355 to 509 of the family's 1533-position model. The record is from RNAcentral.
GUAGGAAUCUUCCACAAUGGAACGAAAGUCUGAUGGAGCAACGCCGCGUGAGUGAAGAAGGGUUUCGGCUCGUAAAGCUCUGUUGGUAGUGAAGAAAGAUAGAGGUAGUAACUGGCCUUUAUUUGACGGUAAUUACUUAGAAAGUCACGGCUAACUACGUGCC